RNAcentral lists this ribosomal RNA (198 nucleotides) under uncultured bacterium. Its description in RNAcentral is "partial 16S ribosomal RNA". It matches the Rfam family "Bacterial small subunit ribosomal RNA", at positions 328 to 539 of the family's 1533-position model. The record is from RNAcentral.
ACGCUCGACACCUACGGGCGGCAGCAGUGGGGAAUAUUGCACAAUGGGGGAAACCCUGAUGCAGCGACGCCGCGUGAGCGAAGAAGUAUUUCGGUAUGUAAAGCUCUAUCAGCAGGGAAGAAACUGACGGUACCUGACUAAGAAGCACCGGCUAAAUACGUGCCCGCAGCCGCGGUAAUCUGAGCGGGCUGGCAAGGC